This is a long non-coding RNA of Acanthochromis polyacanthus (spiny chromis), 1393 nucleotides long. RefSeq lists it as uncharacterized. The transcript has 5 exons. NCBI's taxonomy places the organism in Eukaryota, Metazoa, Chordata, Actinopteri, Pomacentridae. The record is from RefSeq and is a predicted model, not a curated record.
AUCUUACUCAAGCAAAAAAAUAAUACUUGCAAUCAAAAUAUUUGUGUGACUGUGUAAAUAUUUAGCCUUUUACUUUUCCAAUCAUCACUUCUUUUGUUUACAGUUCUGUCUUUUUUUCCCUCACUGAUCAGACUUUUGUUUUCAAUGCCAGCUUUCUCAUUUGCGCUGCCUGACAUUUUGCUUGUGAUUUUUGGCACAAACCUCUCGGGUGGGCGGGCCUUGUGAGGAAUGCGUACUCAUUGGCUGAAUAGUUUUUGAGUGACACCCCGUGCCCCGGAUGUUGUUCUGUACAGCGGGUGAAUUCGGAUGUAUGGGAUGUACUGUGGUAAGCUACUUUAACGUAAAGAAGUGUUGAAGAAACAUCAGACUUAUCAUCAUGCACUGAACAAAUUCUCAACUGUGGCUACACAGGACCUAUAAAUGAUGACAACAAAGACAAAAUAGCACGGGCAAUCCUGCUGCACUCUGCUGCAAGGCGAACAACCAUGCUCAGGCAACUUCGAGAGGGACUACAACUUUACAGCCUCAUAGAUGUCAUGGAAAGGAACAGAAAGCUUUGCCAUGGCCUCUUUGUGGCUGCUGAUGCUGAUAAAGUGGACUCACACUACAUUGUGUCGCACUUGGCCCCAGAGAUGAGCGAAAAUGGUACACAAAAGCACACAAGGGAAGCACAAAUCCUAAACAACUUCUAGGAUUUCCUGCAAGAGCUUGAGGAUGGAACAGUUGAGGAUGAAGAUCCGCUUGAUGUCCCUGGAGUGAUGCAGUGGUUGACUGGACAGUCGCACCGGCAUCUUCUAACUGCAGACAGACAAAAUUUUAAGAUAACUGUCUGUUUUGACCAUGGGUGUUUGGAACGGAUGCCAGACCACAAGAUCUGCUAUCCACUUGUCAGCGCAUGCACAGAAACGAUCACAUUUCCAACUGCACACUGUGUGAAUUAUGAUGAGUUCAAGAAAAACAUGUUAACAGCAAUGAGAUGUGGUGCAGGAUUUUACAGGGUGUAGUUUGGUUCAAAUGGUGCCAGAACACUUAAGAUUCUGUUGUGUCAUUUUCAUGUUUAUCUGCAUAUUAGUUGUUAUGUGCCUCUACAGUGCACAAAUGUUUGUUACAUAAAACAGUGGUUCUCAACAGGUGGUGAGAACCCAAAAGUUGUUUACAGAGCUAUUUUCAGUGGAUCGUGGAUUUAGCAUUUGUUGGUUCCACAUCCUUGUUUAUUCUCUGAAAAGUUUUUUACUGUCUGAGAAUUAGUUAAUACUUUGAUUGGUUGUGAUAUUCUUGGCAGAGUUUGUGGUGGUUCCUGAAAAUGGACCAGUUAAGAUCAGCUGAUAAAAAAGUAAAAAUACACAAAUGUGUUUAAUAUAUUUAAUAGCAAAAUAAAAAAAUGUGCAAUUCA